This 73-nucleotide small RNA is filed under the name Rhodoblastus sphagnicola. RNAcentral's name for it is "suhB". It matches the Rfam family "Makes More Granules Regulator RNA (mmgR)". From Rfam's summary of the family: SuhB later renamed mmgR (makes more granules regulator) was a putative non-coding RNA found multiple times in the Agrobacterium tumefaciens genome and related alpha-proteobacteria. Other non-coding RNAs uncovered in the same analysis include: speF, ybhL, metA, and serC. The record is from RNAcentral. Lineage: Bacteria; Pseudomonadati; Pseudomonadota; Alphaproteobacteria; Hyphomicrobiales; Rhodoblastaceae.
UGCUGCAGCCCUCCUUGGGCGUUUCCUCCCUAGACUUGGGCCGCUGUUUGCAGCGGCCUUUUUUUUGUCAGGG